RNAcentral lists this ribosomal RNA (164 nucleotides) under Fritillaria latifolia. Its description in RNAcentral is "5.8S ribosomal RNA". It matches the Rfam family "5.8S ribosomal RNA". Rfam says of the family: 5.8S ribosomal RNA (5.8S rRNA) is a component of the large subunit of the eukaryotic ribosome. The record is from RNAcentral. Lineage: Eukaryota; Viridiplantae; Streptophyta; Magnoliopsida; Liliales; Liliaceae. RNAcentral also lists the same sequence under 1 other name.
UAUACGACUCUCGGCAACGGAUAUCUCGGCUCUCGCAUCGAUGAAGAACGUAGCGAAAUGCGAUACUUGGUGUGAAUUGCAGAAUCCCGUGAACCAUCGAGUCUUUGAACGCAAGUUGCGCCCGAGGCCUUUCGGUCGAGGGCACGCCUGCCUGGGCGUCACGC